This is a transfer RNA of Candida tropicalis MYA-3404, 107 nucleotides long. It matches the Rfam family "tRNA". From Rfam's summary of the family: Transfer RNA (tRNA) molecules are approximately 80 nucleotides in length. Their secondary structure includes four short double-helical elements and three loops (D, anti-codon, and T loops). The record is from Rfam. Lineage: Eukaryota; Fungi; Ascomycota; Pichiomycetes; Serinales; Debaryomycetaceae.
GUCCCAGUGUCCGAGUGGUUAAGGAGUUGCCCUGCUAUUUCCAUUUCAUUGGAAGGCAGUUCAGGCAAUGGGCUUUGCCUUCGCAGGUUCGAAUCCUGUCUGUGACG